RNAcentral lists this ribosomal RNA (253 nucleotides) under uncultured bacterium. RNAcentral's name for it is "partial 16S ribosomal RNA". It matches the Rfam family "Bacterial small subunit ribosomal RNA", at positions 524 to 776 of the family's 1533-position model. The record is from RNAcentral.
UACGGAGGGUGCAAGCGUUAAUCGGAAUUACUGGGCGUAAAGCGCACGCAGGCGGUUUGUUAAGUCAGAUGUGAAAUCCCCGGGCUUAACUUGGGAAUUGCAUCUGAAACUGGUUGGCUAGAGUCUUGUAGAGGGGGGUAGAAUUCCAUGUGUAGCGGUGAAAUGCGUAGAGAUGUGGAGGAAUACCGGUGGCGAAGGCGGACCCCUGGACGAAGACCGACGCUCAGGUGCGAAAGCGUGGGGAGCAAACAGG